This 150-nucleotide ribosomal RNA is filed under the name uncultured bacterium. RNAcentral's name for it is "partial 16S ribosomal RNA". It matches the Rfam family "Bacterial small subunit ribosomal RNA", at positions 41 to 185 of the family's 1533-position model. The record is from RNAcentral.
GGCAGGCUUAACACAUGCAAGUCGAGGGGUAACAGGGAUUGCUUGCAAUCCGCUGACGACCGGCGCACGGGUGAGUAACGCGUAUGCAACCUACCUUUUACUGGGGGAUAGUCAAGAGAAAUUUUGAAUAAUACCCCAUACGAUCUGAUU